Long non-coding RNA from Triplophysa dalaica, 2004 nucleotides. RefSeq lists it as uncharacterized. The record is from RefSeq and is a predicted model, not a curated record. The transcript has 7 exons. Lineage: Eukaryota; Metazoa; Chordata; Actinopteri; Cypriniformes; Nemacheilidae.
CGUUAAAUGCAUUUAUGGUGAAAUUCAUUAUGAGGGGUGGUGGUCAACUUAAAAAGAAGCCAUUCAAAGCUAUACUAUGUAAUUCAAGUGGACUUCUCUGUAAGAACAUCAGGUUUUACCAGAAAUACCACUUUUACAAAGUUUACAGGGUCUUUCUCAAGGGCACCGCUAAUCUAACAUAUAUUCUUUGUCACAAUCUAGACUCUUCAUAGAAGAUGAAGACUUGCCAUGAUCAAGAAUACCAGCUAUUUGCUGAAGUUCAUCUUUCAAAACGAACAGCAUGGAGUACAGUACUCAUCAGAUGCUGUGAACAGGUGUAGCCCAAAUGCAACAGAUUCAGACUUUGAUGCAGCAAUGGCAGAUCACCUGAAGCACACUGGGGUUGAUGGAUACUUGUUUUAUGGCUGUUUUAACAGUAAUACAAGACUGUUAGGAAAUAAUUUGGUAGUGCCAUAGCUCUGACUUUUAACCAUUAAUGGUGGAACACAUGAAUCACACUCCCGGAAGAGCCGGUGGUCGGGGACCAAGAAAAUGGAAAAAAAGUAGUGUCAUAUGUUUUUGUAAUACUGUACUUUUGUCAUUUUCAUGUUUGAUUAAUGGCUGCUAAACAUCAAUGUUAAACUCCAUUGCUUUCGAGAUUCUACUAUUUUUAUUUUCUUGUUUGAAUAGUAGCUGUCAAACAAAUGGAAGACCAUUCAAAAAUGUGAUGUUCACUAUAAAAUAUGCUGUGCUAAAUUAAAAACACUAAAUUUUGCCUAAAUCCACAAAUAAAGUGUUAUUGUUUGUGAUGUGCACGUGAUUGAAACGUUUUAUAGACGUUCAGGUCAGACCGGACCGAUUUUGGACCUUUUUAGAACUUAAGUCAAUUUAAGACACGUAAACCUUAAUACAUAAUUGCUUGCCUUGCACGAUGUGCAUUUAGAUACAUGCGUAGAUGUCAUCAGAUCUCUAGGGUUGCAUAUAUGAUUGUUACUUUGACUUCAGUUACGUUUAAUUAUAUAAAUAUUGAAGCGGUUGAAAGGGCGUCCUCUUGUGACGUCCUCUACACGUGCAUUUUUAGUCCAUCGUGACCCUCUGUAAAAUUCUUAUGAAAUAAGCAAAAGAAAUUCUGCUUACCUUGAAUAAUACUGCAAUGAUUCAUUUGAGUGCCCAAUUAGUUUUAAAAAUGUUGUGAAUAGACGUUGACUGACGUUACACGUCAUGCACCCUUUCACAAUUUAAAGUGGAUGAUUGCCAAAACUGUGCGGUCAAAAUCCGUAAUCCAUACUCCAGUCCAGUUGGUGGCGGUAAUGCUCCUUCAGUUGAUUUACCAUCAGCAAUAAACUCUAAAGAAGAGGAAGACUCGGUAAUGUCGGUUUGGUUUAUUUCGAAAAGUGACGGAGUAUUACAAAUACUUCUGUUGGGAUUCCAAAGGAAUAUUUUCCAUGCUUUUCGGUUUUAAAGAUGACUUCAGCGAAUAGCUGGCAUUCUGGAACAUGAAUCACGUUAAAUGCCUUUAUGGUGAAAUUUAUCAUGAGGGGUGGUGGUCAACUUAAAAAGAAGCCAUUCAAAGCUAUACUAUAUAGUUCAAGACUCUUCAUAGAAGAUCAAGACUUGCCAUGAUCAAGAAUACCAGCUAUUUGCUGAAGUUCAUCUUUCAAAACGAACAGCAUGGAGUACAGUACUCAUCGGAUGCUGUGAACAGGUGUAGCCCAAAUGCAACAGAUUCAGACUUUGGUGCAGCAAUGGCGGAACACAUGAUGCACACUGGGGUUGAUGGAUACUUGUUUUAUGGCUGGUUUAACAGUAAUACAAGACUGUUAGGAAAUAAUUUGGUAGUGCCAUAGCUCUGACUUCCAUGCAUCAAUGGUGGAACACAUGAAUCACACUCCUGGCAGAGCCGGUGUUCGGGGACCAAGAAAAUGAGUUAACAUUUUGAAAAAAAUGGACUUAAGUAGUUUCAAAUGUGUUUCUGUAAUACUGUACUUUUGUCAUGUUCAUGUUUGAUUAAUGGCUGCUGAACAU